ACUCAGUGAAUGUUUGUACUCAUAGUGUAUGUUCAACACAUAUCUCUGGUUUCUUCUCUAAAGUCCCACCAUGGAUAUAUUUACUAGCAUCUGUGUUGGGUAAGUCACUGUCUCAGCAACCUAUUGUCAAACUGGCUCUUGUGUUUGAAAUGAAACCUUUCCUGUGGUUUCAGACUGUUUCUGCUCUGUGUUGAGCUUGGCUGGAGGGUAGAGGCUGCAGGAGAUCAGGGAGGGCAUCGGGAGGUUCCGAUUGAGUCCGAGUGUCGGGACCGCUACCUGUGGCUUCAUGUUGCUGCGACCGGAGUUGCGCCUCAGUUUGAGGCUGUAGAUAACCAGGUGGUCCACUCCAUCAGUGGUCAGAAUGGACAGAGCUGUGGCUACACCAUCAGUCAAUUCAGAAUGGACGGCUACACCACCUUCAGGGCGUCCUACUACUCCUGCUACACCAGCAACCAGGUGGGGUUCAUGCUCCUCCUCUUAACCAAGACUCUCCUCCUCUGGACCAAGAGCCUUCUCCUCCUCUUGAACAGGACUCUCCUCCUCCUCUUGACCAGGACUCUCCUCCUCCUCCUAUUGACCAGGACUCUCCUCCUCCU
This is a long non-coding RNA of Gadus morhua (Atlantic cod), 596 nucleotides long. RefSeq lists it as uncharacterized. The record is from RefSeq and is a predicted model, not a curated record. NCBI's taxonomy places the organism in Eukaryota, Metazoa, Chordata, Actinopteri, Gadiformes, Gadidae. The transcript has 3 exons.